AUAUCUUGGAUCUUGGUAUAUUCCCCAGACCAGAAUUUUAUCUACCUACUAGCAUGAACAUCAUUGUAAUGUGAGGCUCGAGCUGGUGGACCAAGCAACAAAGGAGACGAGAUUCCCACAAAUUAUGUGCAAUUUCCAAGCACAGCAUAGGUAUCUGACAUGGAGACAGAAAAGAUAGGUAACAUUGUGCUUUCUCACAUAUGUCAGGUUAUUGUAUUUAUUUCCCCCAUCUUUGUGUACUGUAGUCGUGAACCUUGUUUGCUAAUGGAUUUGUUAGAUUUAUCUUCUUAAUUCAUGAUGAACUUGUUACGAGUCAUUACUAAAUAAAAAGCAACUGCAAUUCACUCUAGUUACAGGGUGGCGGUUAAAGUGCCGUGUAAACAUUCUCAGAUCAUGGGGAAAUGGUUCGAUUAACACUUUGAUGCACUUUAUUAUUAUUAAUAUUAUUUUGUUUUGUUGAAAACAAAUGCUGCAUACUCAUUAGUCUAUGAUGGUUAUAGCUGUAUAUACGAGUUUAUGUGUCUGUGACAUCCAGAGGUCCAAUUUGCAAUGUUCAUCUUAUCUGAAGUUUAGGAUGUAAUUUGAUUAGGUUCAUUAAAAAGACAAUUCAUGAAACAAAAAUUUAAUAGAAGGCUGAUGGAAAACUCUGAAUAUCAGGAUCCAGGUUAUCAAGUUUUGACAAGACUAAUUAGGAAGACUCCUGCUUAGGAACCAAUUAGAAACUUCCUCUUCAAUGGAGUUGACGAACUUGGAAGCAAAACAUUUGUCAACUACUUUCCAGAGUAUAAGUGUGGGGAUGGAACUAUAAAUUGAAGGGCAGCAUGGUUGGAAAAUCAUUUGAAAGUUGACCCUGGGAUGGUAGAGGAGAAUUUUUUUUAUGAUAAUUAAUUAAUCAUGGAUAGACAUCCUGCAUUUUGAAUCAUCUUCCAUCUUGCUGUCACCAUUAUUAUCCUCUUUUACCUGAUAUCUGAUAUGUAGUUUGCCUUAUCUGCAACAAACUCCUUCCAUCCUAUAAAUCUUGGUCUUCCAUUACAUGAAAGCAAUGCAGAAAUCUCGUGGAAGUUAGUUUGAGAGUAAGCUUAUGUGAUAUUCUCAUAAGCUAUUCGAGUUCAGUUCCUCAUCCAUCCAACUAUGACAGUGCUAAAAGUUUUGCAAGUCUUGCAAGAACAUGGACCCCUCCUUUUUUUAUUUCGUGAUUGAUUGAAGGCGUUGCUGGGUAGAGCUUCCUAUUUGUUAAAGAAUAAAGAUAUAGAAAGAUUGUCGUGAAUAGUCUGAAAAUUUUUCCUCGUACGUUGAUGUACAUUCUUAAUAGUUUGGUUCUCUUUU
Long non-coding RNA from Olea europaea var. sylvestris, 1326 nucleotides. RefSeq lists it as uncharacterized. The record is from RefSeq and is a predicted model, not a curated record. The transcript has 3 exons. Lineage: Eukaryota; Viridiplantae; Streptophyta; Magnoliopsida; Lamiales; Oleaceae.